RNAcentral lists this long non-coding RNA (737 nucleotides) under Zonotrichia albicollis (white-throated sparrow). RNAcentral describes it as "lncRNA (ENSZALG00000001026.1)". The record is from RNAcentral. Lineage: Eukaryota; Metazoa; Chordata; Aves; Passeriformes; Passerellidae.
UACCGGCAGAUGGAGGAGAGGAUCACCUGCCCCAUCUGCAUCGACGACCAGAUCAAGCUGGUGUUCCAGUGCGGGCACGGCUCCUGCCCGGACUGCAGCACGGCGCUGACCGUGUGCCCCAUCUGCCGCCAGGCCAUCCGCGAGAGGAUCCACAUCUUCGUCUGAGGGAGGAUCCACAUCUUUGUCUGAGGGAGGAUCCACAUCUUUGUCUGAGGGAGGAUCCGCGUCUUCCUCUGAGGGAGGAUCCGCAUCUUUGUCUGAGGGAGGAUUCUGCUCCUCCCUGUGCCCCAUCUGCCACCAGGCCAUCCAGGAGAGGAUCCACAUCUUUGUCUGAGGAUCUGCUCCUUCCUCCUUCCAUCCGCGAGACGAUCCGCCUCUUCGAUCCGCCUCUUCGUCUGAGGGAGGAUCCGCCUCUUCGUCUGAGGGAGGAUCCGCCUCUUUGUCUGAGGGAGGAUCCACAUCUUUGAGGGAGGAUCCACAUCUUUGUCUGAGGGAGGAUCCGCGUCUUCCUCUGAGGAUUCUGCUCCUCCCUGUGCCCCAUCUGCCUCCAGGCCGUCCCAAGAGGAUCCCCAUCUUUGGCUGAGUGAGGAUGCUGCUCCUCCCUCCACCCAGGGCAGGAUCCCCAUCUUUGUCUGAGUGAGGAUCUGCUCCUCCCUGUGUCCCACCUGCCUCCCGGCUGUCUGGGAGAGGAUCCACAUCUUCCUCUGAGGAUUCUGCUCCUCCCUGGCCCUGACUGU